AUAAUGACCAGGGGCUGGGUCAGAAGAACUUCAGAUUGAGCCUCUUGAAACAUUUGCUCUUGGAAUUCUCCCUCUCAGGAAACUAACAGCCUGCUAUGAAGCCCAAGCCACAAAGAGAGGCCAAGGGGAAAUAAACAGAGUGUGAUUAUAUGCAAAACCUGCAAGAAUGAGGACCUCCAAACUCAGUGUACAGAGUGAUUUUCUGCUGAAACAAUUGGAAAAUAAAAGAGACAUCAGUGUGUGAAUGACGACUUUCUGUUGCUGACUUGGAAGACAGAGGAAUUGGGUCAUGAGCCAAGGAAGGUGGGCAGCUUCUAAAAGGCGGAAAAGAACUGAAUUGAAUUCAAAUCAAAAAAGGUCUGAACCUCAUUUAAAAGAUGGUUUUGUAACUGAAGAAUUGAAAGGAUUUCUUUAUGAACUAGCAUCAUCUUAAGACAAAGGAUAAGGACCCUGAAGACAGCAUGAUAGUGAAUCCCAGAGGUGCUCUCCAAAAUGGUGCUAAUACAGCCAAGAAUACAGGUAUGAGAAAGGAUAUGGAAGGGUGCCUUACAGGAGAAAGCACCACUUAUCCACCAAGAUGGCAGAGGCCUUCUUUUCUGACCUGUGGUACAAAAAAAAAGCAGAGACAAUAGGCAAAAAAGAGCACACGAGAAGAAACAUAGAAUGAAAGAAAAGAGAGGGACAAAGAGAAGAAAAAUAAGAUCACAUGAAGGUGAUAAUACAAUUUUAUGUCGAACACGGCAAUUUGCAAUCCACAAGCUGAUCUAAUAUUUAAUGUUUAAGAAAUCCAGGCUGUGUAAAUAAAUUUUGGAAAUGAGAACUCUCCAAGAGCAGACUCAAGGUGAUCUGGGCUGGAUCUUACUCCUUCCAUGUCUCAGGUGGCCUUCCUUUUGUGCCCCAGGAGGACAACAUUGUCAAAUAAAGUUUAGCCUAAAGCUGA
Molecule: long non-coding RNA, 940 nt
Organism: Pan troglodytes (chimpanzee)
Lineage: Eukaryota; Metazoa; Chordata; Mammalia; Primates; Hominidae
Exons: 4
Source: RefSeq, a predicted model, not a curated record